GGGGAUUUAGCUCAGUUGUAGAGCACUUGCCUAGCAAGCUCAAGGCCCUGGGUUCGGUCCCCAGCUCAAAAAAAAAAAAAAAAAAGCACUGCUAUUCCAGAGGACCUGGGUUCACUUCCCAGCAUCCACA
This 130-nucleotide transfer RNA is filed under the name Rattus norvegicus (Norway rat). It matches the Rfam family "tRNA". Rfam says of the family: Transfer RNA (tRNA) molecules are approximately 80 nucleotides in length. Their secondary structure includes four short double-helical elements and three loops (D, anti-codon, and T loops). Lineage: Eukaryota; Metazoa; Chordata; Mammalia; Rodentia; Muridae. The record is from Rfam by way of RNAcentral.